AGUUUUAUUUUUUCCCCCCGUUUUUUUCCAAAACAUGUCUGUAUGAAUAAAAUGUAAAGUCUGGCCUGCCCACUGAUAAUUAAUUUUAAAGGGCCGCGGUAAUUUGACCGUGCAAAGGUAGCAUAAUCAGUAGUCUUUUAAUUGGGGGCUAGAAUGAAUGGUCGGACAAGAAGCUGUCUGUCUUUAUUGUAGAAGUUGAAUUUAACUUUUAGGUGAAAAGGCUUAAAUGUGUUGGGGGGACGAUAAGACCCUAUAAAACUUGACAUAAAAAGUUGAUUUUUAAGUUGUUGUGUUAAAAUAGGUCAGGCUUAUUUUGUUACGUUGGGGCGACGGAGAUAUAAUGUGUAACUGUUAGUAAAUUGAAAUAAUUAUAUUUAGUUGUUUAAUUGAUCCUUUUGUAGAGAUUAUAAGAAAAAGUUACUUUAGGGAUAACAGCGUGAUUUUUUCUGAGAGUUCUUAUCGACGAAAGUAGUUGCGACCUCGAUGUUGAAUUAAGAUGUUAUUAGGGUGUAGAAGUUCUAAUUGUAGGUCUGUUCGACCUUUAAAAUCUUACAUGAUUUGAGUUCAAACCGGUGUGAGCCAGUGGGUUUCCUAAAUAA
RNAcentral lists this ribosomal RNA (599 nucleotides) under Nematocarcinus exilis. Its description in RNAcentral is "partial large subunit ribosomal RNA". It matches the Rfam family "Bacterial large subunit ribosomal RNA", at positions 1816 to 2650 of the family's 2925-position model. Lineage: Eukaryota; Metazoa; Arthropoda; Malacostraca; Decapoda; Nematocarcinidae. The record is from RNAcentral.